Molecule: unclassified non-coding RNA, 258 nt
Filed under: uncultured fungus
Lineage: Eukaryota; Fungi
Description: partial contains 5.8S rRNA and ITS2
Source: RNAcentral
AACGCACAUUGCGCCCCCUGGCAUUCCGGGGGGCAUGCCUGUCCGAGCGUCAUUGCUGCCCAUCAAGCCCGGCUUGUGUGUUGGGUCGUCGUCCCCCCCGGGGGACGGGCCCGAAAGGCAGCGUCGGCACCGUGUCCGGUCCUCGAGCGUAUGGGGCUUUGUCACCCGCUCGAUUGGGGCCGGCCGGGCGCCAGCCGACGACUCCAGCCAAUUUUUUCAGGUUGACCUCUGAUGAGGUAGGGAUACCCGCUGAACUUA